GGGUGUAUAGCUCAGUGGUAGAGCACGUGCUUAGCAUGCACGAGGUCCUGGGUUCAAUCCCCAGUCCCUCCA
This 72-nucleotide transfer RNA is filed under the name Camelus bactrianus (Bactrian camel). It matches the Rfam family "tRNA". Rfam says of the family: Transfer RNA (tRNA) molecules are approximately 80 nucleotides in length. Their secondary structure includes four short double-helical elements and three loops (D, anti-codon, and T loops). RNAcentral also lists the same sequence under 3 other names. Lineage: Eukaryota; Metazoa; Chordata; Mammalia; Artiodactyla; Camelidae. The record is from Rfam by way of RNAcentral.